RNAcentral lists this small nucleolar RNA (95 nucleotides) under Ophiophagus hannah (king cobra). Its description in RNAcentral is "Small nucleolar SNORD12/SNORD106". It matches the Rfam family "Small nucleolar SNORD12/SNORD106". From Rfam's summary of the family: This family belong to the C/D class of snoRNA which contain the C (UGAUGA) and D (CUGA) box motifs. This family includes the human ortholog of mouse snoRNA HBII-99 and human snoRNA U106. In humans both HB11-99 and U106 snoRNAs share the same host gene. The record is from Rfam by way of RNAcentral. Lineage: Eukaryota; Metazoa; Chordata; Lepidosauria; Squamata; Elapidae.
UUUGGUGCUCGUGAUGACUUGAGACUUUUUUCCCCAUCAGAGCGGAAGUGUUGAAUUCUUUGCUAUUUAGCCAGAACUUGUCUGACUGCACCAAU